Heterocephalus glaber (naked mole-rat) is the source of this 18104-nucleotide long non-coding RNA. NCBI's taxonomy places the organism in Eukaryota, Metazoa, Chordata, Mammalia, Rodentia, Bathyergidae. The record is from Ensembl.
CCCAUUUAGACAAAAAUAUUUAUUAAAUUUUUUUACAAAAAUUGAAAUUAAAAUAUUUGUUAGAGAAUCCCAUGACAUUAGAACACAUGAAUAAGAAAGCAGUGUCUCAAUCAAUACUAAGCACUGACAGAAUCAGUGGAGCAACUAGAACUCUUAUAUUCCUGACAGGUGGGUAAAUGGCCUAGCCACCUGGCGAAAGAACAGCACUCCUUAUUUAGCUAACAAACACCGCCUGCACAAUGCAAAAAUUCCAAUCCUGGGCAUGUACUUAGGAGAAAUGAAAGUGUGUACCCACACAAAUCUGGAUGUGAAUAUUCACAAAAGCCUUAUUUAUAAAAGUCCCAAGCUGAAAACAACCCAGGCACCCAUUAACUGGCCAAUGGGUAAAUAAAUCAAGGUACACCUAUAUGAAAGAAUACUUCUCAGCAAUAAAAAGGAAGUAGAGGCACAUGCUACUACAUGGAUGAAUCUCAAAAGAAUUAUUCUAAGAGAAAGAGGCCAGGUAGGGAAAUAAAAGUAGGCUUGCAUUUGUAGAACAUUCCUGCAAAGCUAAAACUGAAGGGUGGAUGAUUAGGGAGCACGAGGAGGCAUGGCCUCAGAAGCAGGAAAAGGGCUCCACCCGUCUCUCUCACAGAGCCUGCCUCACGUGCUGUCUUUCCAUGACCAUGUGACAGUCUCACUGGACCCUGCGCAUGCAGCAGGACUGACCAUAUGGCCAGACCCCCACCCUGGGCCCCCUUGUUGUGAGGACCCUCACCUGGCUGGCUGUGGAUGCUUUGCAGAUCCACCUCUCAUUCCAGACAGGACCAAGGUCUAGAUGUGAGAGGCAGGCAGAGGCCUCAAUGACCCUGCCUCCUCCCAUCUAGACUUAGCAUGAGGCCCUGAACUGUGCAACAUGGCUAGGACUCCUGGCUCUUGGACUCCUGGCAGCUUUGUGUACUGACAAAAGCACAAAAGGACAGACAGGAUGAUUACUGAGUCUCAAACCUCUGACACUAGGGAAAGAUCUAUUUACCCAGUGAAUUUAUUUACCUAGGGAAAGGUCUAUUUACCCAUUUGCAUGUGCACACACACAGACACAAAUGUCCAAAAUCAUCUUAUCAUCUUGAUGUCCAUUUUCCUCCUCCUCUGGGAAUUUUCUCCUGCUGCUGAAUGGCUUGAUCCGAUCACUCUUCAGCUCAGAAACCUUCACUUAUACUCCAGAGCAACCAUAUUUUAUCAGCCAGGAUUCUGAGCUGCAAGCAACAGAAACCAACACUGGCUAGUUUUCAAACAAAAGAUUUAUUUAAAAGUUCAAAAGAGAUUUCAUUAAUUUCCUUUCAGUCUAGGAACAAUUCUAAGAGACUACAACCUAGAGAUGAUGCCUAGAAUUGUACUGAUCCGAUGAGGACCCCAUUGCCACCAAAGCUGAACCUGGAAGUGCAGUGUGCAGCUGCUGCCUGCCCCUGCUGGUGCCACCCUCACCAGAAUCCACUCUUGUGACUUUUGCCAAUCACCUUGGGCCCUGUGCAACUUAUUGGUUGAGUGUCUGUCAUGUGCCCACUCCUUUCCCAGCAAGGAGGCUGGGAAAGGGAGUAUUUUGUAGUUUCAACUCCUACUUUCAGAGCUGAGCUCUUCGCUAACUUUGAAAGGGGAUUCAGAUGCUGGGUUGCCAAGAAAAUAACACAUGCCCUCAACACUAAAAGAAUUCUAACUCCUUGAUAGUAGCAAUCCUCUAUAAUCUGACUUAACCUCCACUUAGAGAAAGCCACUUUAUACAUAAACUGAAAAAAUACCUAUUUGCUAAACACGCCUGCUUUCCUUCUGCAAACCUCUUUUAUUUUUUUUAUUUUUUUAUUUUUUAUUUUUGGCACUGGGGAUUGAACACAGGACCUUUGCAAUGAGAUACAUCUUAGCCCUUUUCUUAAAUUUUUAUUUUGAGAUAGGAUAGAAAAAUUCCUAAGUUUAUGAGACUGAACUUGAACUUUAAAUCCUCCUGCCUCAGCCUCCCAGAGUGCUGGGAUUACAGGCAUGUGUCACUGUACCUGGCUUGCAUGCAUAUUUCUGCCACCCAGCUCUUGCUAUGUAACAAACAAUCACAUAAUUCUCUGCAACACAAGUGUUAUUUCUCAUUCUCUGGGGCUGGGCCGAACCCAUCUCUGCUGGGCUUAGUUGGAAGCUCUGCAUCAAGUUGUGGGACUGACUGGGCUUUGCAAAGCAGCUUUGCUUGACACAGGUUUGAUCUGGCCCAGGCUGAAGCAGCAGCAGAUCUCCAAAGGCAAAUUCUUCUCAUGGCCAUAGUGGAAAUACAAGGAGGAGCGGGGUGGUGACCCUGACAAUCCAAGCAUGUUAGAGGCCUUCUCUUGUAUCCCAUCUAUUACCAUCCUUCAAUCAAACCAACCCAUACACAUGGCUAAGCCUGAAGCCAAGGGCAAAGCAAGUGUGGUCUGCCUCUAUAGAAGGGUCUAUAAUUCCAUGGCAAAGGAUAUUCACACACCAAGGCAUGAGAGAUUGGAACAAUAAUUCAGUCCACCCCAAUGGCUGGAUCUUCCCCCAGAUUGCAGCUCCUUCUGAGCAUGUCCUGUGUAGCUCCAGUGGACCAAGAAUGUAGCUCUCAAGAAAUGGUAAAUGGGGCCGGGGAUUUAGCUCAGUGGUUCUGCCGCCUGUCUUACAGGUGCAAGGUCCUGAGUUCUAUCCUCAGCACCAAAAAAAAAAAAGAGAGAGAGAGAGGAGCGUAAAUGCGUGAGUGGACCACAAGCAUGGAGAGGAAGAGGCUGGUAGUGAGCAUGUACAUUCACUGAGAACACAGUGGAUGGCCUGGCCCUCUGGCUCCAACCUGUGGUUCCCCAUCCGCCACAUGGCCCUGAUUUCUCAUUCAAAGAAACUAGCUGGCCCUGCGCUUCAAAAUGAUCCCUUUCCUGUCUUGGGAGAAGGAAAUCGAAGCAGCAUUGUGAGACUGAUGGGUAGAGUGCCUGUUUUGCUGAAAUGUGAUUUCUCACAGCCUCCUUGGGCCACCCCUCUGGCUGCUUCUAGCUAUCUAGAGUGGCAGAAAGCAGGCCUUUGGCCUCUUCUGCACUCUCCAACCUGUUCAGGUCAGAGCAGCCAGAGGGAUUUGAUUAAAAAUCAACCAGAUCAUGUUAUUCCUCAGCUUAUAUGUGCCAACAGCUUCCAUGUUCUCCUAACCUCUCUCCAGGGUCCACAGGCUUCUCCAUCACCCCUCACACUCCAACUACAGUCUCCCAUCCACCUCAUUUCCCCAGCCCCCCUCCUUCCUCAGUGGCCUCACUAUUCUGAUCAGAACACAGCCAAUCAUCCCCCAUGGUCAAGAAUAAAUGCCUUUGGUCACAUGUUUUAAGUGAGACUACUCCUGUCUACAGACAGCCAUCAAGGUAGAUUCCACAUCCCUCUUUUCUCACCAGACUGCCCUCUAGUGGCCACCCAUUGAAUCUCUCCCUCUUCACUACUGGCCAUCACCUUUAAACCACUCCUGCCAGAAUCACUUUUCCAGAAAAUUCACCGGGACACAUCAUUUAUUCCCUUAUUUACCUAUUUCUAGAAAAUAAUUUAUAAUUUCUUGACCUUGUUCACAAGGUUCCCCCCAAAUCUGGUGCUAUUACUUCAGCCUUGUCUCAAUUCCCCCACUCCCACCUCACCCCAUUUGACUACAUUCAUAAAACUCACUUUCUACUGAUGUCAUAUCCAGAUCUAUCUAACUGAUAAAUUCCAACGUGCAAUGCAAGACCUGGUCACCAUGAUGCUUGUGAAACCAUCUUCAACUCCACAAGGCCCCCUCCUGUUCACUCUUACUUGGUUACUGCACAUAGCUCAUUGUUUGAAAUAUUUCUGGACCCAGUACAUCAAACAAGUAGGAUUUGUAGAUAUGAUCAAAUGCACCUUUAGUUUCAUUUGAUCAGGACAAUUCUUCUCCUGACUUUAGAUGAAAUCUGGGACAAACUUGUGACUGUUCUGAUAGUUUAGAACUUUUGUAGGCACUACUAGUGGCAAACAGUGUCCACAGUCAGCUGUAGAGCUGUACAGCUCACCACAGAAGCCCACACUGGGUCCUCAGGAGACAUGAGUUUCUCUACUUCUCUUCCCCAGCCAGCUGCAGUGGCAGAGCUGCUGCCUUUGAGGAGGCAGCAGUCACCUUCUAGCCUGCUGGCCUCCCUCUAUUGGUAGCUUUAGGAUCUGACACAAAGUCCACUCAUCACUCCUGCAAGGCUGAGUGACACUGUAACUCUUACAUUCUUCAUGCCUGCAAAGUCAAAAUUACAUGAACAACAUCAAGGUAUGCUGCCAGUGUCAGCAGUAGCCAGGACCACAUGGACCAUGCCUGCAGAGGCCUCUGAGUGGCCUCUGAGCAUGGUAAAGUGAAACCCAGGGAGCCAAUUCCCUUGGCAAUCCUACAGAAGCAGGGAACACUAAAUCUUUCUUCUCAAAUGAAAGAUUUACAAUUUUAUAUCCUUAGCCUAUGAUGGGUGGGGUCUUGCUAAUUCUAGAUAUACACUCAGGGCAUCUUUCUUAUUUUCCCAAUACAAAGUUUUUGGCUUCUUUUUAAUGGCACCAAUCUCUUCAGCCAUCACAACUUCUUUAUACAGUUCUUUUCUGACCACACUGCAAGUUUUUUUAAAUCUUUCUAUUCGGCUUUUUGUUCCUGAUUCUCACUGUAAAUCUGGCUAAAGGAAGCCAGAAAUAUCCAUAUCAUUGCUUGAAAUCUAUGCUGUCUUGAAAUUUCCUCUACCAGAUAAACUAGGCUGCCACCAUUAAAUUCAGCCUUAUACAAAAUUUCAGGGCAUGGACAAAAUGUAGGCAACUUCUUUGCAGAAUGUAACACAAAAAGCCUCCAGUCCAAUUCCCAAGAAUCUUCAUUCCCAUCUGAGACAUCAUAAGCACAGACUUUAUUUGUCUACAUCCCUUUAUUUGUCUAUAUUCUGGUCUUCUGAGUGCACACAAGAAUCUGCUAUUAAGCUCUGUUUACAAGGUUAUAGGCAUUGUCCAGCCUGCUUCUCAACACUUUUUCAAAUUCUCCCAGCUAACCAGUUCUGAAAGCUUCUGAACUACAUAGCAAAGAUCAGCCACAGCAGCAACCCCACUCUCAGUAUAUUUCUCUGUGUGUGUGUGUGUGUGUGUGUGUGUGUGUGUUAGCUUUUCAUCACUGUGACAAAAUGUCUGAGAAAGCAUGCUAUUCCUGUUAUGUAAAAUCUAAAAAGGUGACAAGAAAGUAAAAGAGAGAAUAUUAUUAGACAAGAUGAAUAAGAGGGAAGGGGAGGAGUAUAAGAGUGGGUAAUAGGAGGAUGGAUAUGAGUAUAAUACUUAGACACAUUGAAAACUUCCCCCAAAAAAAGGGGAAAUGGAGGGAGGGUGGAGCAAGAAGGGUGAUGGGGUGAAAAUGACAGUGUAUGGUAUGUGCGUGUAUGAACCUCCAAAAUGAAAUCCAUCAACUGUAUAACCAAUUCAAAAAGAGUGGAACAAAAAGGAAGAAAAACUUAAUGGAGGAAGGUUUGAUUUUAGCUCAUGGUUUCAGAGGUUUCAGCUAAUGGUUGGAAAGGAGCCCCCUCCUUCUUCUCUCCUUUCUUUCUUCCUUCUCUUCUCUCUCUCUCUCUCUCUCUCUCUCUCUCUCUCUCUCUCUCUCUCUCUCUCUCUCUCUCUCUCUCUGUCUCUCUCUCUCUCUCUCUCGGAUGUGAUGAAGAAGCAUCUUUCCUCUGCCACAUCAUUUUGCUAUAAUGUUCUGCCUCACCACAGGCCUGAAGCAAUGAAGCUGGCUGACCAUGGACUGAAACUAUCAGCCAAAAUAAAUCUUUCCUCCUUUAAACUGUUAUUCUCAAGGAUUUCAUCACAAUUGUUAUGGCUUGUAUCUAGAUGUCCCCUCAAAGCUUCAUGCAAUCAUAGGUGGGUCUUUUUCAGAGGUGGCUGGAUCUAGAGUGUGUGAUGCUGGGAUUAAGGGUAUGUGAUUACUAAAUUAGUACACUAAUUGGUUUGGCAUAGUUCUGGGUAGGAUAAGGGUGCCCCGUUCUGGGUGUGAGUGCCAUUUUUCCUAAGGGUAGGUAGCCUGGAUAAAAUAUAAGGGACAGAAAGAGGGAUAGUGCUGUUUGCCACUUGCUGCUUGCUGCCUUCUGCCUUCUGCCUGCCAUGAACUGUUACCCCUUUUCCAUGCUACUCUGCAUUGGAACCAGUCAACUAUGAACUGAAACCUCGGGCUGGGGUUGUAGAUCAGUGGUGCCGUGCCUGUCUGGCAAGCACAAGGUCCUGAGUUCAAUUCCUGGUACAAAAAAAGAAAGCUAUGAACUGAAACCUCUACAAUCUGUGAGCUCACUCACUUACCAAGCCUGGACUCAGGGGCAAAAUGGCCCUCACCAUCACCACAUGUUGGGGCUCACAGUAGGGCCCUCUCCAUGAAAUCCCUUUAAAAACAAUGAUCCCAUAAACUCUGCCAUCCCUUUUACACUUUCACUCAGCAAAAAAAGGCCCAGAAACAGAUUGACUGGUUUUCUGCCAAUGUGUCUGCAAAUGCUGUACACGGUCAAGCACUCACUUUGGGAAGCAGUAUCCACUGCAGCUUGAUGCCUUGGCUGAAACUUCCAACUUAUUAUCUUGUGUGGAUCUCUCUUCCCCAGGAGGCAAUUUCACUCUCAGGGAGGGCCAAGAAUUUGGACUUCUGUACUUCCACUAAGAAAGAGUCAUCAUACUUUUCCUCUCCCACUCCACUCAGUGCACUUCUAUUGAUUUGCCUGCUUAUUCCAUGUAUGUCCUUGGGCACACUCAGCCCUGUCCCUGCCACCUUAUCCUCAGGUUGCCCAUCACCGGUCCCUGUCACCAAUAGGUGCCUUCUAAUUGGUCUCCCUUCAGGCACUCUGGUCCCCAGAAAUCCCACACUUUACAUUAAAGCCAGGGCCAGCUUCUUUGUCAUCAGUCUGAUUGUAUCCUCUUCUUCGUUCCAGAACUAGCUGAUUCUCUGAAAAUCAAAAUAAUGCAGUAUGCUAAUUAACUGUGCUGUCAACUUGAAUAAGAAACACCCAUCUGAUUGGUUUAACACUGUUCUGGGUGUGUCUGGAUGAAGUACGGAAGAGGGAAGAUACACCCUGGGUGUGGGUGGCACAAAUCAAUAGGUUUGUAGCUUGGGAAAGAAGGAAGUCUCACUUGUGUUUCUUCAGAGAAGCUCCAAUCUUUACCAUUGCUGUCGGAUGUCCAUCUUUAGGCUUUCAGUCCAGACUCUUCAGCUUCCUGAUACUCACAAAAGACUCUGCAGUGAGCUCCAAGUCUUUGACUUUUGACUGGAUCCUUUGGCUCUCCAGCACACAGAUGGCCCUUUUAUAGUUCUCCAUACCUGAUUCUGCAGGGACCCAUUGUAAGCCUACCUUGUAAAUCCAUGUAGCACUGACUGAUGCACGUGGUUAACAUGGCCUACCUCUUCUCCACAGGGUAUUGCUUGUCCUGUGCUAUAGCUUUAUCCUUGCCCGGUUCCCCUUCCUUUUCCUAGCAAGAGCCACACAGAAUUUCCUCAGGGUUCCAAGCCUCUCCUCAUGCAGGGCCUGGGAUUGCUCCCCCUGCUUCUCUACCUUCCUCUCCUAAGACCUCUCCACGUUUCUCAAUCCCAGGUCAUGCUGCUGGGUUAACCUCUCACAGCACUUGUAGCUCCCUGUAGUUCAGUUUGUAAUUACACAUUAGCUGUGAGAUUUUUUAUUACUUUCAUUUCUCUGGUUAGACUCUGCUCUAUGAAUGCAAUGACUCUGUGUGUCUUUGUUCCUAAAUCCUUGAUGAGCCUGGCCCACAGCAGUGGCUCAGAAAAUAUGUAUUGAAUGAAUAAGGUGACAACACCAUGUUUUUGAUAAAUGAUAUCAAAUAAACUACAAUCAUCAUCUGACUCCCAGCUCACUUACACAUUUAUUCAUUCAAAAAUAUUUAUGGAAGUCCUUCUUCUGAUGGAAGAUCAAUGGCUCUUUUUCUUACUAUAAUAUACUGAAAGACACUGCCCAGGUUGCAGGGAGUACCCUCAAAUAGUUCCAUAGGUUCCUUAGGUUCCAUAGUUGCUUGCAUGAGUGUUUUACAUUUACAUUUGUAAUACAGUAAUAAAACAUUUAGACAUCUCACAGCUGUCACUAUAAUUUUUCUUACAGAGGAAAUGGGUUUUCUUUGAGAAAACAUCUUCGGAAGGUGGUAGAUGGAGGAUGAACUGCAAGUUGGGCUCGGCAGACCUGGCACUCAGAGACUGCUUAAACUGCUGCAGAGAGGAAAUAGAAGGAAUGUGAUCACUGUCGGGAGGGAGGUGGGGAGAUGAGGACAGGGAGGCAAAGAAGGAUGAGAGGGAAGACAGGGGUCAGAGCAGUGGAACUGGGCCAGGCCCCGAGGAAUGCCUAUGUCGGGAGGCUGCCCAGACCACGGGAAGCUGCCCUCCCCUAUUCCCUUUCACUCUGGAACCUGUGACAACUGACACUAAGGAGAGGGCUGAAUCUGAUGUCUGAAUGGUCAACAGCCAGAAGGAAUAAACAGCCCCUAAACAAGUCUGAAGGCAAAGAGGGCACAAAAACACCAGUCCUUGAGAAAUUUUAUGGAAAAGGCUUGCAACUUUCUAAAGAAGCACAUCUGAGGUAUGCAAGCCAUCUUAUCUGUUUGCCCAUGAAUUUGAAAAAAAAAUGAUUUGGUUCUAUUAUAUGUGCACUCACACAGACUGACAUAAAAAUUUGUUAUUGGUGGUGGGUUUUUCUUAAGUUCUGGGGAUCAAACAUGGGGCCUCACUCAUCCUAGUCAAGCACUCUGCCGCUGAGGUAUAACCCCAGCCCUGUUUCUUCAUGAGGUGUUAUUACUAUUCAAGUGCCUUUGAUGUGACUUUGGAUCUUGAUAGAGAGGUUUUACUUAGAGAGAGCAGGUUUGAAGAGCUGUAGGAUCUGUGUCUAAGCAUGAGUGUAUCUCAAACUUCUCCUGCUCCAGGUAGCUCCAGCCCCUAGGGACCUUCUUCCCUGCUAAUGAAGUCCCAAGGUCCUCUCUCCAUGUCCUCAUGUACUCUUGACUGUCAGUUCAGCACUCCACUUUACUUUGCAUUGAUCUCACCUUUGAGCCCAUCCUGUGAGUCCACUGCCUCCCCUGCUUAGAUUGCCACUUCUGCCAGACACCAUAGGUCUUCCCCAACACUUCCCAAAGAUGUGCCCGGAUGGUCUUGAGCUCCUGAGAACUCCUGACAACCUCCCCUCACUGGGCUGUGCUGCCAUUAGCCCAGUACAACCCAAUCCACACAUACACACAUACAUGGAGAGAUACUUACACACACACACACACACACACACACACACAGCCAGACUCUUUGCCUGAUGAACCACUUGAUUGGUUUUAUUGGGUAGAAAUUAAGGGUCUUUCAAACACAGUGACAGACACAAAGUACCCUGAUAAUAUUUUUGGGCCCAGAGUGCCAGCCAUCACUGCAAAAUCACUACUCAAGGACAGUCACACGCAGCUAGAAUUAUAUUGCUGGAGUUUUAUGAACCAAAUGCUCCCACAAUAAUAUUUGCAUAAAACUAGGGUAGUGGUGUGACCUCUUCUCCUCAAGUCUUUCCAACUGACACAACUUGUUUCUCACCAGGGCCAAGGGGAAGGCAAAUCAACAAAACAAGAUGUUGCUCUACAUCCCAGCAAAUGCAGUGGACCUCCCUUUCUUUCUCCAGUGAAAAAGGCUCCAUGGAGUACCGCAUAGCAUGACUUGGCUCUUGGAAAGGAAAGCAGGGAGGAAUGGGUCAAGCAAUGGAUAGAAGCCAUUCAGAGAUGAGUCACUACCACCAAGCCCUUGGGACAAGCUCCUCUGUCUGCCACCCAGGCAGGACCUCUGGGCUGAAGCCUCACCAGGUACAGAGCUGCAGACAAUGGGCAAGCAGCUUCCUUAGCUUCUCUGCUGCCCCCAGGAUCUGUCCUGGUUUUGUUUGGAGAAGAGAUGGCAGGGAAUCAAUUUCAGAUGAACCACUGAGCAACCCAAGGUCCUCUUUAGAUGAAAUGAUCAUUUAAAAAGUACAUUCACAUGUACACUUAUUUCAUAGUUCUGACAAUAUGACAUUGUUAUGGCUCUCUGCAGGGAAGUCAGUCCUAUCCAGAAAGGGAAUCUGCAAGCCAUCUAACCCCUGCCACCUCCCUAACUCUUGUGUGCAGAGAGUAGGGCCCUCAGAAAAGACUGGUUGCCUCACAAAGUGACUUCCACCCUAGGAACUUGCUCAGAAGUCAGCCACAAUGAGGGCCAAGCAUCACCCCAGAAAAAUAUAUAAUAGGACUGGCUCCCAGGGUCUAGCAGGAGCUGUCACUCAGGACCCACCAGCUUCCUCACAAGUGGUCACAGCAGUGGGGUGGACUGAUGUCACGGGACCCAAUGCCCACUCCCUCCACACUUCCAUUUUAUUUAAGUCUGUGGCCCUGGUGACUGUCAAAUACAACUGCCUCCCUUUGCCCCACCAGGAACUUUCAGCCGGCACUGCUGGGUGCCCUAGCCUUGGCCUCCAGGCAGGAAUGAAUACUCAACAAGCCCCUCCAGAGACAACGCACAGGGUGCGAGUCCAAGGGUAAGGCCUAGACCUGGACCAUACUCCGGAUCAGCUAGAUCACCCCAAUGAGAAGAAAGCCAGAACAGGGGCUAGAGUAGGACACUGGCCACCUCUCCCUGCCCUCUAGCCUCUCCCACUUUGGGAAAGCUUGUGCACCCAAGGGGAGACCUCCACCAUUAAUCACAGGUGACCUGGGCAUGGCACCACCAUCUUCUUGGACUGGAGUCAAAUAGGACUGCUACUGUCUGCCCUAUCCUCCUCCCAGGAUGCAACAAAGCCCAGUGAAAAAUGGAUGGUGAAGGUGUUUAGAAAGUGGAAGUGUUCACUUGUGAGCAAACAGUCAUAUUUUUAAGUUCAUACAUGAACCCAGGCCUGAGCUGCUGCAGAGGCUGCCCUGGCUCUAGCAAGCUUCCUCCCAUGUGCAAAUAGCUCAAGUAGAGCAGAGGUACAGAAAGAGGAUGUCCUGGCCAAGCCAUCAACACAACACAAGGUCCCUUUGAGGUGUGAAGGUAGAAGGGGCCUGUUUCUUAUUUCUUGAGAGAGAGGUAGCAGUAAUUGCCACUGUCUGAAGGGAAAGGCAAGUAGAAGAGAGGCCAUUUACUGAUCUCAGAUGUCCUGCAUCACCAGAUAAUGAGCUAUUUCACCUACAGGAACUCUGAGGUCACUGAAGACUGAUCUUUUAAGCACCAAGACUUUGAUGACCAUGCUAUAAGUGUUUGGGGAUGGAAAUAAUUCUACAGUGGAUAAGAUCCCUGCUUGCCUUCAUAAAGACAGUAUACUGUUUUGUGUGUGGCUGUGGAUGUCAAAGGCUGAAUGGAGCAGAAAUGCUCUGUUGAUCUGGAGGGUGUUACAAUCUCCCUAAUAUCCCUGCUCCUCCAUUUGGUGGCCUCCAGUCACAUGACAGUUGCUGACAUACAUGGAUUUGGUCUUUGUAAUACAUUCACUAUUAGACUAUUAGCUGCUAUUUCUUGCUAUAUCUAGCACCUGUUAUCAUUCUCUUCAUUUGCUUCAUUAUUAAAAAACCAAGACCAAGUUCACUAGAAUUGAAUUUAAAAUUAAAGUGAAAGGCAAGAGGGAUUCAUUGUUCAAAAAUGGUUUGGCCUUUGAUACACAGCGUUACAGUAUCUAUUUCUGGGGUUCAAAAUUCAUUUUCCUUCCUCUGAGUCUUCAGCUACCUUGGGGCUGAGGGAACUUGCUGGUAAGUAGAUCUGGGAAGUGAAGUGUGCUAUCUUCUUGUUUUAGUAAAAUGGUAACCAUUUUCUCUUUUAAUAAGUUUUUCAAGAUCUUCGGGUGUUCUUGCGAACUUGGUGGAUUAAUGCUGCAUUCUGAGCUGCCACAGGGUUGAAGCUGCACCUGCCAGGGACAUCUUCAGAGCAAAGAAUUUGCCUGUGGUUGGAGAUGAAAGCAGACACCAGGUACUAACUGUUUCAACUCAAGUUUUUCCAAAGGCAGGUAGAAAAGGAAGAGGAUAAUGAAGUAGGGCCACACCAGCCUUGGCCACUGUAGUAUGUUCCUUCAUUGUCACUUUGCAGGUAUACUUUGAACACGUUUUCUGGGUAUGUUCUACUUUCAGCCAGGUGGGCAGGUAGGUCCUCCCUAUGCUACAGUGUGCCAUGGGGGACUCGGAUCCUACCCCAGGACUAGCCACAAAAUGACCUCCAAGCUCGAGUCACUCACCUCUUGGUUCUGAUCACAAAAUGCACCCUAAUUCUAGGCACAGAUGGAUACAAAUUUUGGGCACACUGAGUUUCCUAACCUUGGGAGAACUCUGUUACUUUGCUGUAGAAAUAUUUCAUCAUGUUUAUUUAAAUGUUUAAACUGUUCAGAAGAAGAAAGGCCCAAAUUAGAUUUGGGGGAAGGGGCCUCCAACCAAGAAAGAUAAUGUGGCAGAACUGGGACAAUGUAGUUGAAAGAUCACCCAGGGCAGUGGUCCUCACAGUGUAUCACCAGAUCACGGGAACUUGCUAGACAGGUUCCACACCAGCCUUCUUAACCCUGAAACUCCAACAGGGCCCCGAACUAAUGAGCUCAGGGUUGAGAACACAAAUUCUAGAGGAGAUAAAACUUGUAUAUCAAAGCUGAACGGAUCAUUUAGUUGAAGGAAUUGAGUGACUUCAUUACCAAGGGGACCAUCUUCAGACUGGAAGGAGACAGUCACUGAUUUCUGGCUUUUGGGGCAAAAGCUAAGGCUUACUUGGGUCUAUUUUUCUCCCUUUUUCUUUGAAUGAAAAUUUUAAAAGCUCCACCGUAGAAAUUAUGCAGGAAGAAAAUGUUCAAAGACUUCUAACAAAUUGGCAAGACUGUCGUCACUGAGGACCCAAGCUGGCCAGGACAGCUGAAUCCUCUGGCAAAGCACGAGUAGGUCUGCACUUGGCCUUGGCAAACUGAGGGCCCAGAACAACUGCUCAAAACAAAACAAAAAUCAGAAUUCUGCUAGAGGAGCCCAGAAAACAGUUGUCAUUUGAGAGCAGCUUGUACCUUACUAAUUCUUUACAUUUAGAAAGUGUGCUACAGUAAGUGAAAUAAGCCUGCCAAAAGAAAAAAAAGGACAAAUAUUGCAUGAUUCCACUUACACAAGGACCUACAGCAGAGAAAGCCAUAGAGACAGAAAGAAGAGUGGUUGCCAGGUUGAGGAGGGAGAGGAAAUUUGUCAUCAUUUAAUGGGUUCAAUUUUUUAAUUUUGAAAAAUGAGAAGAUUUCUAGAGAUUCAUUCCACAUCAAUGUGAAUGUCCUUAACACUACUAAACUUCACACUUAAAAAUGUUUACACUGGUAAAUUUUAUGUUUGUGAAUUUUACUACAAUUAAUAAUUUUUUAAAAAGACAGAAAUCUUUGUUAGUGGUGAAGCAAAACAGAAUUAGUAAGUGUUAUAGAUUGCUGGAGAUUUGAUUUUUGUUGCUAGGUUUACAGUAGGUUCUAUUUUAUAUUUGUAGAAAACACAGCAGUUGGAUUGUGGGCCAAAAUUCUUAUUUUCAUUCUUUUCCCACUCAAGACUCCAGUCUGGAUUUCAAGCCAGAUGCAGCUGCUCACCCACAAACAGGUGUGCAUGCAAGGCCCAGGCAGGGAUGUCACACAUGCUGACUGCUGGGCAUCACCACUUCGAUCUGGAUUCUGAGUCCACUGGUUUAACAAACACCUAGAGGACUGUAAUGCAGAGGACCUAAGGUCUACCUUUGAGGAAUACACUGCCUCAAUUAGGAUGUCUUGUAGACUACUCAGCCUCAUUUGAGUAGACCUCCCAAAGACCAGGAGGUCCACCCUGCUGACCCUACACCCUUAGCCUGCCUUCACCUGACCCAUGAGCCACAACUGGCCUCCUCCUAGAGGAGCAUUCUGGCUGCAGAGACAGGGGAGGGUGUGUUGAACUCAAAGUAAGACCACUGCCCGCUUCCCCCAAGGGAACAACUCCACGCUCCUACCCUUCCACUGGGUAUUUACAGCAGACAUUCUGCAAAGCCCAGUUCAUCUGUUUCCCACCCCUCCAAAAAAGCAUUUUCCUCUAGUUUUUUGAGACACUAUCGAUAAAUACUUUGUAUACAGCAACCCACCUUGAACCUCAGCUGCAGUAAUAUAAGAUUCUGACAUAUCUGUAAAGUUUAGAAGAUGGGAAGUAAGGGAAAGGAAGAAAAGCAGAGGAUGUCUGUCCCUUCUUUCGUUUGAGUUAGAGAAACAGGACUGCUUAGCAAGCAAGAACCAGAUGAAUAAGAUUAUGGAGGGGGGGUGGACUAAAAUAAAGGAGAGCAGGACUGGGCAAGGCCCCACUAUACAGACAGUUCAGCCCCUGGGCCCCAAGCUUGCCAAGGACCAACAAGGGGAGGCUCUGCCUUCUUAGAAUGUACUAGGCAAAAAGAAAAGAAAGGAAAAGAAACGAAACUCAGCUAACCUCAGCUGGCAAUUUUCCCACAGUUUUUCUUGGUUUAUUAGUGGAGUCUCCCAAACCACUGGAGCCCACUAGGAACCAGAGACCUCAUUACUGGAGUAAAUGUGUGGCCCUGUGCCAAUUCGGGGGACACAAAGAUGAGCCAGAUAUCAGGUUUUCCCUGUGGGAAAAGCAGAUCCUCUACCAAGGACACAGGGUGUCCUUGACACUUAUGACAUUUAUGCUGUGUCCUCAGAGGGUAUCAGUAAUGGUCACAGCAGAAGCACAGAGAAAAGAGUGUCCAGCCUGGUACAGGGAGGGGAGAUGGCAAAGGUCAUAACCUGACAUCAUCUGUGAAAGUGGUCAGACAAGAGGAGAUGCGGAGGAGGAAGGGUGUGUGGCCAUUCCUGGCAUCCUGGAAGGACAGUGCCUGGAGGGGUGUGGGAGGAGGUGGGCAGGAGGGUCUCAGAGAAAAGGGAGCCAACUUGGGAUGUAGCUUGUAGGACUUGAUAAAGAACCUGGGUGUCAUAGUACAGGGAGGCAUUGGCCCCAGGAAACAUAUUUCAGAUGGGAACUCUGAAAGCAAAAAGGUCAGUCAGAAGGUCCUGCAUUAGUGCAAUGACAUAAGGGAUGCAGGAGGGAAUGAACCCAAGAGAUAUUUAUGAUUGGACUUGACAAAAGCUGUUGAGCAAAUAAACAUAGAGGGUGAAAAGGACGAGGUUGACCAGAGCAGAGGGAAUAUAUGCUGCGUGUCCAGCUAGAGUUGGCACUGUGCUGGACAGUGUGCAACACUAUUUCCUUCCUUUCUUUCUUUUUCUUUCUUUCUUUCUCUCUCUCUCUAUUUUUGGUAUUGGGGGCUGAACCCAGUACCUUUGCACUGAGCUACAUCUCCAGCCCUUUUUUAUAUUUUGGAGAUAGGGUCUCAGAAAUUGCACCACUUGGGCUCGAACUUGCACUCCUCCUGUCUCAGCCUCCCAGAGUGCUGGGCUGAGAGGUCUAAGCCACCAUGCCCAGCCAUGCAACACUAUUUCAUUCAACCUUCACAAUAGCUGAUGCAGUUGGAGCCCUGUCCUCAUUUUUGAGAUAAUGAAUCAGAGCCUCCAGGGGCUUUGGGAGCAUCCCAAGGUCACAAAGCUGCUAAGCAAUGGGAGGAGGUGCCAGAGUCCAGGUUUUUCUUUUAACUGCAGCAGUUGAGGGCAGGUUGAGGUUUGAACUGCGGAGCAGAUGUGCCUGGGGCGCCAGUGGUCACACCCCAGAUGCUCCUGGGGCCUGGCCUGCAGGGGCAGGGGGCUAAGAUGAAAGGGCAGGAGAUGCUGGGAGCAGUGAGUAAAUGGAGUUUCUGCAGGAGACUCCCAGAGAGAGAAGAGAACCCUGAGGAAGCUUCACAGUAGAGUCACAAGGAAGCCUGAGGAGAAGCGUUCAGAGAGGCCAGGUAAGAACAGAUUGGUGUACACAGGAGAGAGAACUUCAAAAAGACCAGAAAGACCACCGCUGUCUAAUGCUGCACAGCCGCCAAGGAUGAGACCUGAGAAUUCACCCCUGCCUUGGCAGUGACAACCUUUACUCUGCCAAUUUUAGGGUUCAGAACUGACUCUGCCUCCCCUUCCUCUCCUCUCCCGGGUAACUGUCCCGUCAGAAACUUCACGACACUCUGCACCCGAGAGCUCCAGUGUGUUUGUUGGCCGCUCCAUUUACCAUCCACUCACACACCAGACUAUGCACCUGGGGGACUGGGAAUCUGCUUCUGAUCACCACUUGUUCCCUGGCCCCUAGCAAAAUGCUUGGGACAGAAUGAGCACUCGGUAGAUACUGGGCGAAUGACUGGUGGAAGGUGGCACUCUGGUCUCCCUUUGUUGUGGAAAUCACUGCCUCCUCCUCCUCAGCAAAGUCCAAGGCCAGGAUCCUCUCUGUUAUCUGCAGCAUCAGGCGAUUAGUGACAGAGUUGCUGCCACAGCGUUGCUGAACUGGUCCCAGAGGUCUGUCUGACCUUGAGUCACCUUCUUUCCUGCUUGGUUAAGCAUUGAGUCAUCCGUAGUGUUUUGCUGCCUUUCAAGCCUGGAGCAGUGGGUUUAGCAGAAAGGAAGACAUGAUAGCUGUUUUGUUCAUGGGAAAUUGAUUUCCUCUAAGAAUGUAACUGGCAGUCUGCACCUCACAGAGGGACAGUGGCAGGGCUGCAGAGAAGCACGGAAGAGGGCUUCCAGAAUCAAUGCCCAGAUUUCUCCUAUAAACACUGGCUGGAGGAGAAAGGAUGUGGCCUGAAAGUCAGGCAACUGCAUGAGUCCCAGUUGAGCCUCUAGCUGGCCAUGUGGCCCUGGGCAAGUCACUCAUUUUGCCAUAAUACAUACCCUUUCUGGGCAUCUCUUCCCACCCAAAGCAUGUGAAGUUGGCCUCAGUUCCCCUCCAGGACUCUUGUAAGUGGCCAGUACUGUUGCAUGGGGCAGGGCUGGGAGAGGGACCAAGAGCAGAUACUGCCUUCUACACCCAGGACAGCUCCCCAGAGCAUCUGUUCCUAGGGCAGGACCUAGUACUACCCUGUGGAGGCAUCUCUAUUGGGAUCUCUCUUGUUCUAGCCCUGGCAAUACCAGCUGGGGAGCUAAGACUGAUGUUUGAAGGUCAGGUUUUGGGGUCCUACAGACAUGAGUGCAGUGCUUUCCCUUGGGUGCCUGAUCAUGGACAAGUCCCUGAGUUGCCCUGAGCUUCACCUCCUCGCCUGUACCAUGGAGCCUCCUUAUCUGAGGGCCUUGUGAUAAUGGACAAUGAUACAGGGAAAGGCCUCAGUGCAGGGCUGAGCACAGAAUGAGAGUGUGGUCAAUCUUAGCUAUUUCGAUAAUAAAUAGUAGUUAUGGCUUUCAUCCAUACAUCAUGACUGCUUUUAAAAAUGAAGAUUGUAGAGACUCUAGAGAUCUUUUCUAAGCCUCUCAUUGUAGAGAUGAGGAAAUGGAGACCCUGAGAGAGAGACGGAACUUGGUCUAAACCCACAGGCAUAAUUAUGGCCAUAAGUGAGGUGUCCAACUCUCACCUGGGAUGGAUCUCAGUGCUCCUGCAAGGGCCAUGGCUGGAACAGAUUCCAUCCCAAUACCUUCAGCUAUGGAGAUCCUAAUGUCUGACUCACAAAGGCUCCUGCCCCAACACUGUCCACCCAAACCACACCUGGUCCCCAGAGGGCCUCCUGUAGAGGGUCUGUCACACUCAGUAGAGUCCAGGGUGUGACUUGACAAGGUCCCUUCCCUGACCCAGCAUGUUUGCUUAAAUGGGACAAUUGGUCUUUAAGAGCCUUCCAGUUCUGACAUUUCACAGUUUCAGGAACUGGGUUCAACUAACUGAACAGUGGCUAGAAAUCUCAGUUAACUGAAAUCUUCCCCAGAAGUUCCUUCCUUGGGAGAACUAUGCAGAGCCCAAGAAAGCAGUCGUCAUCCACUGUCCUGUAUAGUUGAUCCCAUUUCCCAGCUGUUUGGGCCUCUGUCUCUGUGGCUGCUCCUGUUUUAUUGACCAGCAGACUGGGGCUCAGGGCAGCAUGGGGCUCCCACUCCAGACCUGACCUCAAAACACUGGUGAAAAUCAGCAUCCAGUACAGCCCAGAGCUCAGCACCACCCACUUGCAAGAGAGCCCAGAGAAGAAGGCCUGGCAGAGAAAGGAGUCUGAGCAGGAGCUUGGAGGGCCACCCAGUGCUCUCCUCUCUCUUUCCCAGCUGGGCCUGUGGCUUUGCCUGUUAAACUAGGUGAUCAGGUGGAAGAAGCCUGGCUCCCUGCAG